GCGCUGUGGGCGCAGCCCCUGCUUGGCCGCGGCCUCUCCUCCCGCCGCGGGUCCGGCGUGCCCGGUCAUGGCGCUGCCGGUGCUGUCGAGCUCGGCCGUGAAGUUCCGGCGAGUCCUGGCACACUUCCCACAGGAGCUCAGCCUGGCCUUCGCCUACGGCUCGGGGGUGUUCCGGCAGGCGGGGGCCGCGGCCGAGCACGGCGAGAACAAUAUGCUGGAUUUUGUAUUUGCUGUUGAUGAUUCUGUGACCUGGCAUAUGAUGAACUUGUUAAAGAACAGGAGUCAUUAUUCCUUCCUAAAAUUUUUUGGGCCAAAACAGAUAACUAGUAUGCAGAGCUACGGAGCAGGAAUUUACUACAACACUUUAGUGCCAUGUAAUGGUAGGAUGAUAAAAUAUGGUGUUAUUAGCACUGAUACUCUGAUUGAUGAUUUAUUUCACUGGAAAACCCUCUAUGUCGCUGGGCGCCUACAAAAGCCGGUGAAAAUACUGACACAGAAUGAGAAUAGCAAGCUGCAAGCUGCUCUUGUUAGCAACCUGAAGAGUGCAGUCACAGCAGCCUUUCUCAUGUUACCAGAAAGUUUCUCUGAAGAAGACCUCUAUAUGCAGAUUGCAGGACUCUCCUACUCUGGUGAUUUCAGAAUGAUAAUAGGAGAAGACAGAUCGAAAGUGCAGAACAUAGUGAAACCCAACAUUCCUCAUUUUCAGAAGCUGUACAGUACCAUAUUACAGGACUGCCCUCAAGUGGUAUAUAAGCACCAUCUGGGAAGGCUAGAGAUUGAUAAAAGUCCAGAAGGUCAAUUUACACAACUAAUGGCUUUGCCAAAGACUCUGCAGCAAAAGAUAACUUCUCUGGUAAACCCUCCUGGAAAAAACAGAGAUGUGGAAGAAAUUUUACUGCAAGUUGCCCAUGACCCUGACUGUGGAUUUGUGGUGCAUCAAGGCAUUUCAGGAAUUGUGAGAUCUUCCAGUAUAGUGCAGAGUGCUAAAACCAUACUGACAGCUGGGGCAAAGAAAUCUGUAACUUACAGUAUGAAGAAAUUAUAUAAAAUGACAAAGGGAUGGUUAAGGAAGACAUCUUGAGUCUUGACGUAGUAUGUAUGGGUAAAUAAAUGGUACUUUUUAUCUAAAUAUUUUGCAGAUGCCACUUUGCAUACUUGAGAAGAUUACAAUGCAUUUAAGAAGUCCAUUCUAAUGAUUUACAUGCCCAAUUUUAUGAAUGAAAUAGGAACUUUUUAAUGGGAGAAGGUUUGCUGGUAAUAGGGCAAAGGAAUUCUACUCUGUAAAUACUGAACUGUAUUUUCUUGUGUACUAGAGCUUGGAUUUUCAGAAACCCCUAGUAAAAAGAAUUGAUUGUACAUAUGAAUGAAAACCCAAAGCCACUCAUUUUCUAUGUAUUGCUAGCUUUAUUUUCCAAAAUACCCUCAGGCUCUUUCAAAAUAGUCAAGUUCUUUCAGGGACUUAUGGAACUGGAGAGCCCGCUGAAUUUUGUGUAGAUAAGAAACUGUCCUUUCACAUUUCUGCAUUGACAAGUUCAUCCUUAGAAUUCUUCUGAGGAUCCUCACUGGAUGCUUCUGCACAGCAGACCUUAUGGAAAGGACAUUUCUUCUCACGUGUGACAUUCUGAAUCCAAAAAACUUCCACGGUGACUUUCAGUGUGGGAAAGAGAAAUGAGCAGCUUGUCAGGUGUCAGGUUUCAAUCCUUUCAUAAAAAUCCUUUUAUGAGCCUGAGAUGAAAACUGCCCAACUCAUGCCUCAGCCUUGUCAGAAGAGCCAGAGUUGGAGGGAAAAUCAUAAUUCCAUGGACCUACUUGUGCAGACUUAUGAAAUAUGUGUUGUUUGGCAAAAGAUUCUAUCAAAGCACUUUGAAGUUGGGAAUAUUAUGAACAAAAGCACAUAUUGUUUGAUUCUUUGAUUUUAUUUUUUUUCCCCUGAAAAUACUGUCCACAAAGGUGAAACUUGUUUUCCCUUUAAAAAUUAGCUAAACUAAAGAAAAUUGGAGUUUUACAUAACGUGUCAAUCAUGCCAUUAAAGAUUGGACAUUUCUGGCAGUUUUCAUGUGUGGGGCAAUAAAUUUGGAGGAUCUUUUGUAAACAGAAUAUUUUUCACACUCAGGUGGGUUUCCUACUUUGCGAAGUUUAUCUUAUUAGAAAUAAAUUGAGACAAGAUUUAAUUUUGUUUGUGAAAAUGUCAAUGAUAAAAAUAAUUUAAUGGUAAAAAAUGGAAAUAAAAUGUAUCUUUCCUGAUUAGCAUGUUUGUUUUUUUUUCUUGUGUAUUAUCUGAUCAGUAGGGUUAUCUCAAGCUACAUUCAAUUUAGUGAUCUCACUUUAAAUUAUUGGAAUGAAGUUAUCUGCUAAUUGUUUCCAGGGAGCAGUUCAAAGCAUGAAUUUAAGAAAGACAACAGAAAAUAUACUAUUGUAUGUAAUAUGACUCAUGCAGGCUUACUUUAAUCAUAGGACAACUUUAAAAUAUUGAUUAUUUUUAAAUAUUUGAGUUUGAAAUUUUAAACCAGAGUCAGGAAAUAAAUGUGUCCCCUUUUUAAAAUUAUUAUCUUGAAAAAUAUUAUUCCUGUGAAAUAGUAAAGAAAUUACUGUGAAAAUUUCUAAGGCCAUAGGUAGAUUCCUAAAACUUUGCAUUAUCCAUUGGUGAUAGAUCAGAAUGUGUGAGCCAAAUCCCCUCAGAUGUCCCUUUGCUGAUAUUAGAAGGCUCAUGACCCUUUUUAUGGUGAUGAAGAAUGUUUGUAUGUGUAGUAUUAGCAUUCCCUGUCCCCUCUUACUAAUGGAAGAGGCCAAAUUCCCCAACUUGGAAAGUUUACCAUAUAAGAAAUGUAACCAGGGGCUUUAAGCCACUGCUUAAAUAAACUUAACUUGGGUUUUGGCUGGAUUUUUUUGUUUGCACAAAGAGGUUCCUUUGUAGAUAAUCUAGAAGUCUUUUAUACAUAAUACACCCUAUCCACCUUAAAAUUAACCUCAUAUGAGUUAAUUAAGUGAGGGCUUACAGUAGCCAUACCAUUUUUAACGUUUCAGCAUAAGCUCUAGUGAAAGAAAUCUGAAAUCAGAUGUUGACUUGCUUAGGUGUGCUCGGUGGGAAGCUCUUAAGAACAGAAAACACUGAUCCCAGUGCUAGAAACAGACCCCGACAGAUACAAAGCUUUUGGACAAAUGAACAGCCUGAGAAAAGAUUCAGGAUGGAGCCAUGGCCUUCUGAAUGAAAGAGUUACCAGUUUUGUUCUUUUUCCUUGAAGGCUGUGUGGGAAGGGGUCUAAGAGAGCCUUCGCUCCUUCCAAAGAAGAGGACGCCAACCACUGGUGAGGAUUUGUCCUCGACAAAUUCAGAGAGAUCGUUCCUAGCGAACCUGUAUUUUUCUGUGUGAAUUCUGUUCCUCUAGUCAACUUUU
RNA transcript from Chiroxiphia lanceolata (lance-tailed manakin), 3394 nucleotides. It is a transcript of the gene named TAM41 mitochondrial translocator assembly and maintenance homolog, with no coding region annotated. The transcript is spliced from 9 exons. The record is from RefSeq and is a predicted model, not a curated record. Lineage: Eukaryota; Metazoa; Chordata; Aves; Passeriformes; Pipridae.